RNAcentral lists this transfer RNA (77 nucleotides) under Methylotenera sp. RNAcentral describes it as "tRNA-Arg". It matches the Rfam family "tRNA". From Rfam's summary of the family: Transfer RNA (tRNA) molecules are approximately 80 nucleotides in length. Their secondary structure includes four short double-helical elements and three loops (D, anti-codon, and T loops). The record is from RNAcentral. Lineage: Bacteria; Pseudomonadati; Pseudomonadota; Betaproteobacteria; Nitrosomonadales; Methylophilaceae.
GCGCCUCUAGCUCAACUGGAUAGAGCAAUGAGCUUCUACCUCAUAGGUUGCAGGUUCGAUUCCUGCGAGGCGCACCA